UGUCGGUCAAUACCCGGCAGCUUGACAUUACCUUUAGAAGAAGCACCGGCUAACUCCGUGCCAGCAGCGCGGUAAUACGGAGGGUGCAAGCGUUAAUCGGAAUUACUGGGCGUAAAGCGUGCGUAGGCGGUUCGUUAAGUCAGAUGUGAAAGCCCCGGGCUUAACCUGGGAACUGCAUUUGAAACUGGCGGACUUGAGUUGAGUAGAGGGGAGUGGAAUUUCAGGUGUAGAGGUGAAAAUGCGUAGAUAUACUGAAGGAACACCAGUGGCGAAGGCGACUCCCUGGACUCAAACUGACGCUGAGGUACGAAAGCGUGGGUAGCAAACAGGAUUAGAUACCCUGGUAGUCCACGCUGUAAACGAUGUCAACUAGCCGUUGGUACCUAUUUACAGGAUUAGUGGCGCAGCUAACGCAUUAAGUUGACCGCCUGGGGAGUAC
RNAcentral lists this ribosomal RNA (439 nucleotides) under uncultured bacterium. Its description in RNAcentral is "bacterial SSU rRNA". It matches the Rfam family "Bacterial small subunit ribosomal RNA", at positions 450 to 883 of the family's 1533-position model. The record is from RNAcentral.